This is a long non-coding RNA of Centrocercus urophasianus (Greater sage-grouse), 1318 nucleotides long. RefSeq lists it as uncharacterized. The record is from RefSeq and is a predicted model, not a curated record. The transcript is spliced from 3 exons. NCBI's taxonomy places the organism in Eukaryota, Metazoa, Chordata, Aves, Galliformes, Phasianidae.
UUCUUUCAUAAGGCUAAUUGAACUUCAUCCCUUGGUUUGAAAACAGUAGCAAGUUUAUUUCACAUGACCUGCAGGCCUAUAAUGUCAUAGUAGUCCAUGGAAGCACCUUAACAAGGCAACAAUGUUUUCUCAGGGAAUACUGAGGAAGAAUAUCUCAAAAUGGAAAAAAUAUUUACGUAUCAGAUGAAAUUUGCAGACCUACGUCUAUGAAAAACACACAUUUCAUAGAACAGCACUGGCAUGGGGGAAGGAGAUUGGCUGCUCUGCAGGCUGCUAAACAAUGAAGGCAUUUUCAGCUGAGCUACCUGAAAUGAUCCCUCAAGCUCCUGUAUCACCCCACAGCAGGACUCCUGUUCUGCAUUUUUGAUCCAAAGCUGGGAAGAUGCUCAGGGAAGGGGAGCUUGGGGGCUGAGUGGAGCCCUUAAAAACUAAAGAAUGAGAAAUGGAAUCACCUAUGCUAAGUGUUCAUGUAAUAUCAAGCUCUUCUUUGGGACAUUGGCAAGCCGUAUUUGUCUGUCAGGUACUAUCAAUCAGCACAACUCCUUGUGAUUUGCGUCUCUUUGUUGUAUUAAAACAGUGAAACCAUGAUGCUUUAGGUGCAGUGGCUGAAAACCUGCUGGGUGUUUAAUGGUAGCAUUUGUACUAUUGGAGAUUAAUAGGAAGUUCUACUUUAAAACCUCUGGCAUCUCAGCAACCAAAACAAGAUGUUGUUAGCUAGCAAGAAGAAUGAAAGAGUCAGCUGUUCAGAAGGACUAAACUGCACAUGCCUUGUGAUAAAUUGCUAAUGUAUUCUAACGUGCACAGAAUUACAGUCUCUUUUCAGCAGCACAGGAGAUAUGUGAAAUAAAUUUCCUUUUGCACUGUUUGCUUUGAAACUCCUAUUUCUUUAUGUGGGAAUGAAAACACAUCCACGCAAAAAAGAGACAACAAACAAGAAGGGAUUAGGAGGUGUGAGCAGCUUCUGCUGUCAUGUGACUGCAGACUGUCUGGCAUGUAGUCCAGAGCAGCAAACCUGCUCUUCAUUUGUAGUUACAGAAGAAUUAUGAGCUGCAGUUAGAUGUAUGGUGUUUUCCCAGUGAUAAAAGGAAGAAUUACAUCCAGCCUGGAAAAAGUAAAAAAUACUUUGAGAAACGAAUAUUUUUUUUUUAAAUUUAAAAUGAUAUAUUUUGGAAGGAAGAAAGUGUAUUAGCUUACCCUGGAGCUUUGCUUCCUUCCUUUUGGAUGCCUGAUUAAAAUCUCUCCUUACUCAACUAAUUCCCUAGCUAAAAUUGCUAAGACUGGAGGCAUUUUACAAAAACAAAACAAAACAACAACAAAA